RNAcentral lists this ribosomal RNA (253 nucleotides) under uncultured bacterium. RNAcentral describes it as "partial 16S ribosomal RNA". It matches the Rfam family "Bacterial small subunit ribosomal RNA", at positions 524 to 776 of the family's 1533-position model. The record is from RNAcentral.
UACGUAGGGGGCUAGCGUUGUUCGGAAUCAUUGGGCGUAAAGCGCGUGUAGGCGGUCCGGUAAGUCCGCUGUGAAAGUCGGGGGCUCAACCCUCGGAUGCCGGUGGAUACUGUCGGGCUUGAGUACGGAAGAGGCGAGUGGAAUUCCCGGUGUAGAGGUGAAAUUCGUAGAUAUCGGGAGGAACACCAGUGGCGAAGGCGGCUCUCUGGGCAGAUACUGACGCUGAGACGCGAAAGCAUGGGGAGCAAACAGG